This is a long non-coding RNA of Triticum urartu, 5856 nucleotides long. RefSeq lists it as uncharacterized. Lineage: Eukaryota; Viridiplantae; Streptophyta; Magnoliopsida; Poales; Poaceae. The record is from RefSeq and is a predicted model, not a curated record.
UCUAAAAAAAAGAAAAAAAAGGGAGAGGCGAGAGCAAAAUAAAUGGCGGCGGCGGGUGGAGAUGGCGCGGCGCGGCGAGCGACGGCCGGAGAUGGCGCGGCGCGCGACGGCGCGGCUGGUCGCGGGGUCGCGGCGCGUGGCGGAGGGCCGGGCGCCGCCGCGGCUGGUGGUGGGGGGGCGGGCGACGGCGCGGCGCGUGGCGGGGGCGGCCUGCCGUGGCUCGAUGGAAGGGAGGGCGUCCCGUGGCUGUACCUACUCUCAACCGCGAAGGAUAUGAGCGUUAAUCUUGCAAUAGGAAGGCUCGUGACCAUCGGCAUCGUCAACAGUGUCACCUCAGUUGCCCAAAGGGCAGAAGACUUCUUCCACGGCAAGAUCCCUAUGGUUACCAAAGAUGGCCAAGAUCUCAGGCCUUCUCUCGAGGUAUUCAUCAGCUGGUGCAUCACAGACAUCAAGCAGAAGAUCCACACAAGCUUUGAGCCAUCCUCCAGUAUCAGGCCUCUCAGGAAGGUAUCGAUUGCUAUCAACCAUCUCAUUGCCGCUCAUCCUGACACUCUACUGCUCCAGUCACUGUUUGCCGGUCCAAGGGAUGAGCUGGGGGAGCUUAUCAUCCUGCUAUCAGCUGAACUAUACGGCCUGCUCUUCAAUAUCACAAGAGGAGCCGGGGGUAUAUGUACGUAGUCUCUCGGGACCUCCCCAUCGAUCCCAAAGACUUUCAUCUGAAUAUGCAUCAGAGUUUGGGCAAGGCUCGUAGUUCAGCUCUGCAAGUUGAAGAGGCUGUCGAACGCAUGUCAAGGAUCCAAACCGUUCUGGCUGAAGCACCAGCUAAUAUCCGUCGAUUUUUCUCGUUCCGCCACUUCGUCCCAGCGACGGAGUAAGCCAGCAGGCACGUCGAGGGGAUCUAGGAUCAAAGGGCUACAUCCAUUCGCCGGCAGUUUGCUUAUGAUUCAUGUUUGAUGUUAAUUAUUGCAAGUUUGGUAACUUCAAUAUGACUUGUGAUGACUGAGGCGAGCAAAACUGGGAAGUUGUUCGCUUAUCUUUUUUCUACGCCGUGACAUGUGAUGAUUAAAACUGCUAAAUUAGUUACUCAGUUGUGGUAUAUGAUGAUUAAAACUGAUAGAUCGUAACUAUAUGAUGCAUUUCCUAUUUAUUAUAUAAAUAAUUAUUGUUCGAUGCAUGGUUGAUGUUUAUGCAUGUUUUAGUUGUGCAAUUAUUGGGCUACUAAGGUACAACCUGCACUUUUGGUGUUAUUAUUUUUAUCUUGUGAUGUUAAUAUGUGUGGCUUGUGAGGAUUUGUCCUCGUUGCUUAGUGGAUUGUACAGUCUAGUGUGUAUAGAGGACGUGUUUAAAAAAACCGGUAUCAUGCUAAAACAUGAUCGCCAAAAUAAUGAAUCAUUUGUAUUUGGAUCUUUUGCAUACAUCUUUAGAAAGUAGGAUAUCGUCCAGUUUAUGGGCGAGUUUCUUAUAGUGAAUGAUAAUAACGACUGCUGUGUUGUUCUCGCAAGUGUUGGAUUUAAAAAUAAUGGAUCAAACUUUCACAUUCUAUAUUUAGUUUCCAUGUGGACAAAGAAUAAUAUAUAAAAUUUGUGUCGCCUUUGUUGCAUACUUCUAAGUUUGUAUCUUCAUUUAGUAAAAAGGAUGGUGAUAUAGUUUAUUAUUCGGUUCUCUUUGUACCCCCGGAUAAAUGAAUUAGACCAUGUACAACAGAGUAAAAUGAAGUGCUUAGUAAAAUGAAUCAAGUGUUUUGUAAGCACCCGUGCUUAUAUCUAUGGCGGGGGUGCCUAAUUAGACAUAUGCCUUUCACAAAUAAGCACUAAUGUUCAAGUGAAAACUGGUCUAUUUUAUGAGUACCACGAGAAAUAACUUGCAUUGUAUGCUAUCUUAUAAAAGAUAACAAAGAGAUGGUAAUGUAUUUUAGGCUUAGGAGUCAUAAUCUUAUCAGAGUGCGCAUUGACCAUAGUGUAUUUUGGAAAGUCAGUUUGCUUGUCCAUCCUUUUUGCAUUGCGACAUAUGAUGAUUAAAACUACUAGAGUAUAAUUACUUUGCAUUUGGUACAUAUAUAGAUGACCACCAUUAGAUAUAUGCCUUAGUGUUAAUGCUAUUUUAGUUGUAAGAUGGUUGGCUACCAAGUUAGGCCUAGUGAUGUGAUGUUGACUUGUGUGCUGUUUUUUUUAUGUAAGGUGUUUUUCAAUGUUUUACUAAUAGCAUGAAGUGGAUGAUCGUCGAAAUAUAAAUCGUUAAUGUUAAAAGUUAGGUGCAUGGUUCUGUAGUAUGUACAAUGUUGCCUAAUCUAUUAGCAAGUUGCAUGCGGUGAAAUGAAUAUGAUGACUAGUUGGUCCUGUUUCAUAUACCUCUGAACUUUUUUUAGUUCUACAAACGAACUAGUUUUUAGAAAGUGAUGCGAUUUAAAUAAAUGAUACAUUUGAUUCAACUAAAGCGGAUUGGAGGGUACCCCGAGGGUAUCACCAAUUUGAACCACUACAACUAGAUGGUAAAGUUAGUAUCACAAGUCAUAAUUUUUUUUGGGAACGCAACAAGUCAUAAUCUUAGCACAGUGCGCAUUGAUCUUAGAGUGUACUUUCAUAAGUCGUUUGCUUAUCCUUUAUUGUGUUGCAAUAUAUGAUUAUUAAAUUUGCUAGACUACAAUUACUUAAUAUAUUUAGUAACUAUGAGUGUUUGCUGUUAGAUGUAUGGCUUGAUGUUAAUGUUGUUUUAGUUGUGAGAUGGUUGGCCUACUAAGCUAUGUCGUUAUUAUUAUCCUGUGAUGUUAACUAGUGUGAUUAUGUGGUUUUGCCUUGUUGCUUGGUUUGGUCUACAUAUACUACGUAUGAGGGCAUGGUUGUGUGGUUUUGCCUUGUUAAUUGUUUUAUUGUUCAUAGACUACAUAUGAGAGAGUGCUUUCAAAAUUUUACUAGUAUCAUGCAGUAGUUAGAUACCAACGAAUAAAUUGUUAGUAUUAAAAGUUGUUUGCAUUGAUCCAUAGGAUUAGCAUGUUGUUUAAUUUCUUUUGAGGUGUCUAUAGUGAAAUGAACAUGAUGACUAUUUUGUUAUGCCGGUAGAGAAUAUUAAAUUUAAAAAUAAUAGGUCAAUUUGUAGAUUCUUUAUUUAGUUCUAUGGGGAUAGAGACAAAAAAUGGCGCUCAGUAGAUAUUUCUAAAUUUGCAUCCUAAUCUAGUAAAUUUUGUGAUAGUUCACUAUUGGGUUGAUUUUGCGUUACACUGUCAUAUGACAUGCAUACUUAAGAAAAAACAACAAAGGGAUGCAUAUGUUCAAGUGUAUAUGUGGAUUGUCUAGCCCUUUCCACCAGUUUGGACUAUUGGUUGCGUUAGCUAGUUAUGAAGAUUAACAUGAUAUUAGAGCCCAAGGUCUUGAGUUCAAGUCCUGGCUUUCAUAAUUUAUUCAAAAAUUGCUGCCGCCCGUCUUUGUGUUUACGUAUAGGCCUCUUAAGCCAUACCUUCGAGUCGAUUCACGUGUUCACUUACCGCGUUACAUGUGAGAGGGGGUGUUGAAGUGUAUAUGUGGAUUGUCUAGCCUUUUUCACCAGUUUGUACUUUUGGUUGCAUUGUGUAGUGCAUGAAGCUUAAUAGCACGAUACUAUCAUAGUGCACAUUGACCAAAGAGUGUCGAUUUAUUUCUUUAUGCUUGUUGUGUACUAUAUAUUUUAUGUUGGUUUUUAUCAUGAUUGGUAAGUCUCAUGUUAUUGAUGCCUUGUUGUUUUUCCAGGAAAAAAAAGGAAUGCAAUAUUCAAUUACUUUACUAUGUUUUGGAGAUAUAAUUUAAGUUAUUUGAGGAUUGGAGAUAUAAUCUAAGUAACCUGAGGAGAAGAUUACAGUUUACGGGAACAUUGACAUGAUGUAUCAGGCAAGUUUUUUUGUGAGAGAGUUCCCAAAUGUUUGAUAAGCUUGUAAUGCUUCAUGGUUUUUAUUAUCUAAUGAAAUUAGAUUUGUGUAGACUUGUGGUUAUGUCAUCAUUAAUUGGUUAUUCGUACAUAAAAUAUGUAUAAGUGAGGUGUUUCCAAAAUUUAAUAAAGUUUUAUUAAAUGUUUUUGAAUGAUCCAUUAUUUUUAAAAGAAUACAGUUUACGAGAAUAUUAACAUGAUGUAUGAAGCAAUUUUUUUGUGAGAGUUCCCAAAUGUUUGAUAAGCUUGUGAUGCUCCAUGUUUAUUAUUAUCUAAUGAAGUUAGAUCUGUAUGGACAUGUGUGGUUAUGCCAUCAUUGCUUGGUUAUUCGUACAUAAAAUAUGUAUGAGUGAGAUGUCUGCAAAAUUUAAUACAAUUUUACUGUAAUGUUUUUUAAAUAAUUCAUUAUUUUUAAAGACAACUGUAGUGAAUGAAAUGAAUAUAAUGACUAUUUAUUUUACUUAUGUUAAAUAUUAAUAGUAGUUCAAUUUUAUAUCGUUUAUUUAGUUCAAUAAUGUUAGGUUUUUAAACAUUUAUAAAUUUGAAAUAUUUAUUUAGUAAUUGGUAGUUAACUAUUUUGUUCAUUUUGCGUUGUACCACUAGAUGAAAUUCAUGCUUAAGAAAUAUAUGUAGGCAGCCAUAUAAUACUAUCAUAGGGUGCACUAGCCAAAAAGUGUGAUUUUAUCUGUUUUAUGAUUAUUUUGUUUUUUUAAUCAUGAUUAUGGUAUGUCUAUAUAAUGAUGCCUUUUGUUUCUCCAGGAAACACAAUGAAUGUUCACUUAUUCAAUUACUUUAUAGUGUUUGCGAGACAUAACUUAAGUUAUGUGAGGAGGAAUGACCUUAUUGUUUUGUUAAUUAUAUUUAUAUUAUGUAUGAGUGGGGUGUUUUUUUUAUUUCUAAAAUCAGGAUACAGUUAAUUUUAAAGAGUGAGUCGUUAUUAUUAAAAAUGUUUCCAAUGAGUCGUCUAGUCUAUUGGCAAGAUGACUGUAGUGAAUGAAAUGAAUAUGAUGACUCUUUGUUCUAGUUGUAUUAGAUUUAUAAUAAUAGUUCAACUCUUUUAGAUUCUCUAUUUUGUCCAAUGGUUUCAGUUUUAGACAUUCCUACAUUUGCAUCUUUAUUUUGUCAUAAUUUUUGUACUGCACUACUGGGUUCAUUUUUGCGUUAUACCACCAGAUGAAAUGCAUGUUAAGAUAAAGGGAGGCAUAAUCCUAUAUCAUAGUACGCAUUGGCCAUAUGGUGCACUUAAUUAUUUGAUGUGCCUUGUUCUGUAGGAUAUUUAUUUUGCAAUAUUCAAUUACUUAGUUAGUGUUGAAAGGCAUAGCAUAAGUUAUGUGAGGAGGAAGAGUACAACAUGUAAGGGAGCAGUGACAUUAUCAGGUUUUUUUUUUCCUGUUGAGAGUCACCAAGACAUCUGAUAAGGCCUGUGGUGCUCUAGGGUUGACAUUAUCAGUAGCAGCCUAACAAUGUGGAUGGUAACACUGGUUUGGUGUGGGGAUUGUGCAACAAAUGAUAUCAAAUCCAGGUACUAGUAUUUGUAUUGUUAAUUUGAAGGUUAACGAUGUGUUGUUUUUGUUUGUUGGAUAAUAAGCAUUUUUAUUGAUACAUAAAUCUAAACUGCGUGCUUGUCUUAGUUGCCAGUAGAUGUUUAUGUUUCAGGAAUAAUUCAAUUCAGUGUAGGAGAUGAGAACGCGGAGGACCAGCUUCAUCAACUAUCGAAGCUGCUGCUGGUUUAAGGACUGAGAUGCUUAUGUUCACUGAAUUAAUCUUUGUAUUCAGUGAAGAAGAGGGGACGUCAUAGGACUGCUGCUGCUGGUUUAUUGACAUUAGUUAGCUGCUGCGACGCACCGCCAGAGUUGUUGCGUGUGCGUGUGUGCUUGUGUUGAGCCAGUUAUAAAAUAUAGUUGGGGAUCACAGAUCAUAUGAAAUGGAUUUUUACUGGAGGUAUUGAAAUUUAUGAGUUCA